UUAGAACCGCGUGGGCGGCAUGUACUUAACACAUGACAAGUACGAACGACGAAAGUCCUUCGGGGCGAGUAGAGUGGCGGACGGGUGAGUAACGCGUGGGAAUCUACCCUAGAGCGGGGGACAACCCGGGGAAACCCGGGCUAAUACCGCAUACGUCCUACGGGAGAAAGAGGGCCUCUGCUUGCACGCUCUCACUCCAGGAUGAGCCCACGUCCGAUUAGCUAGUUGGUAGGGUAAAGGCCUACCAAGGCCACGAUCGGUAGCUGGUCUGAGAGGAUGAUCAGCCACACUGGGACUGAGACACGGCCCAGACUCCUACGGGAGGCAGCAGUGGGGAAUAUUGGACAAUGGGCGCAAGCCUGAUCCAGCAAUGCCGCGUGUGUGAAGAAGGCCUGCGGGUUGUAAAGCACUUUCAGUGGGGAAGAACAGAUUCGGGUCAAUACCCCGGAGCCCUGACGUUACCCACAGAAGAAGCACCGGCUAACUCCGUG
This 491-nucleotide ribosomal RNA is filed under the name uncultured bacterium. Its description in RNAcentral is "bacterial SSU rRNA". It matches the Rfam family "Bacterial small subunit ribosomal RNA", at positions 34 to 507 of the family's 1533-position model. The record is from RNAcentral.